GCGGAUGUGGCGGAACUGGUAGACGCGCUGGAUUUAGGUUCCAGUGUCGAAAGACGUGGGAGUUCGAGUCUCUUCAUCCGCACCA
RNAcentral lists this transfer RNA (85 nucleotides) under Alphaproteobacteria bacterium. RNAcentral's name for it is "tRNA-Leu". It matches the Rfam family "tRNA". From Rfam's summary of the family: Transfer RNA (tRNA) molecules are approximately 80 nucleotides in length. Their secondary structure includes four short double-helical elements and three loops (D, anti-codon, and T loops). The record is from RNAcentral. Lineage: Bacteria; Pseudomonadati; Pseudomonadota; Alphaproteobacteria.